UGGGGAAUAUUGCACAAUGGGCGAAAGCCUGAUGCAGCAACGCCGCGUGAGUGAUGAAGGUCUUCGGAUUGUAAAGCUCUGUCUUUUGGGACGAUAAUGACGGUACCAAAGGAGGAAGCCACGGCUAACUACGUGCCAGCAGCCGCGGUAAUACGUAGGUGGCGAGCGUUGUCCGGAUUUACUGGGCGUAAAGGGUGCGUAGGCGGAUGUUUAAGUGAGAUGUGAAAUACCCGGGCUUAACUUGGGUGCUGCAUUUCAAACUGGAUAUCUAGAGUGCAGGAGAGGAGAAUGGAAUUCCUAGUGUAGCGGUGAAAUGCGUAGAGAUUAGGAAGAACACCAGUGGCGAAGGCGAUUCUCUGGACUGUAACUGACGCUGAGGCACGAAAGCGUGGGUAGCAAACAGGAUUAGAUACCCUGGUAGUCCGCGCCGUAAACGAUGAGUACUAGGUGUAGGAGGUAUCGACCCCUUCUGUGCCGCAGUAAACACAUUAAGUACUCCGCCUGGGAAG
Molecule: ribosomal RNA, 509 nt
Filed under: uncultured bacterium
Lineage: Bacteria
Description: partial 16S ribosomal RNA
Rfam family: Bacterial small subunit ribosomal RNA
Source: RNAcentral